This 301-nucleotide ribosomal RNA is filed under the name uncultured bacterium. RNAcentral describes it as "partial 16S ribosomal RNA". It matches the Rfam family "Bacterial small subunit ribosomal RNA", at positions 509 to 807 of the family's 1533-position model. The record is from RNAcentral.
CAGUCGCCGCGGUAAUACAGAGGGUGCGAGCGUUAAUCGGAUUUACUGGGCGUAAAGCGUGCGUAGGCGGCUUCUUAAGUCGGAUGUGAAAUCCCUGAGCUUAACUUAGGAAUUGCAUUCGAUACUGGGAAGCUAGAGUAUGGGAGAGGAUGGUAGAAUUCCAGGUGUAGCGGUGAAAUGCGUAGAGAUCUGGAGGAAUACCGAUGGCGAAGGCAGCCAUCUGGCCUAAUACUGACGCUGAGGUACGAAAGCAUGGGGAGAAAACAGGAUUAGAUACCCCCGUAGUCCCUGUCUCUUAUAC